This 670-nucleotide ribosomal RNA is filed under the name Enterobacter sp. CAY09. RNAcentral describes it as "bacterial SSU rRNA". It matches the Rfam family "Bacterial small subunit ribosomal RNA", at positions 538 to 1250 of the family's 1533-position model. The record is from RNAcentral. Lineage: Bacteria; Pseudomonadati; Pseudomonadota; Gammaproteobacteria; Enterobacterales; Enterobacteriaceae.
UUUUUAAUUCUUGAAAAGAGGUGUGCACGCCGGGCGGCCUGUCAAGACUGAUGUGAAUUCCCAAGGCUGAACCUGGGAACUGCAUUCGAAACUGGCAUGCUAGAGUCUUGUUAGGGGGGUAGAAUUCCAGGUGUAGCGGUGAAAUGCGUAAGAUCUGGAGGAAUACCGGUGGCGAAGGCGGCCCCCUGGACAAAGACUGACGCUCAGUGCGAAAGCGUGGGGAGCAAACAGGAUUAGAUACCCUGGUAGUCCACGCCGUAAACGAUGUCGACUUGGAGGUUGUGCCCUUGAGGCGUGGCUUCCGGAGCUAACGCGUUAAGUCGACCGCCUGGGGAGUACGGCCGCAAGGUUAAAACUCAAAUGAAUUGCGGGGGCCCGCACAAGCGGUGGAGCAUGUGGUUUAAUUAAUGCACGCAAAAACCUUACCUACUCUUGACAUCCAGAGAACUUUCAGAGAUGCUUGGUGCCUUCGGGAACUCUGAACAGGUGCUGCAUGGCUGUCUCACUCUUUUGUGAAUGUUGGGUUAAGCCCGAACGAGCGCAUCUUUAUUCUUUUUUGCGCGGUUAGCGGAACUCAAAGGAACUCCAUGUUAACUGAGGAAGUGGGGAUACUAUAGCAUCUGGUCCUACGAGAGGCUACAACUGCUAAAUGGCGUUACAAGAGAAUCAC